Chlorocebus sabaeus (green monkey) is the source of this 3342-nucleotide non-coding RNA. The record is from RefSeq and is a predicted model, not a curated record. Lineage: Eukaryota; Metazoa; Chordata; Mammalia; Primates; Cercopithecidae.
CGCUACUCUCGCGCUCUUUGAAAGUGCGCGAGCUCUGACCGAGACCUGGGCCGGCGGUUGGUCGGCCGAAACCAUCUGCUACGUUACAUGGGGGGAGGUCAGCGCCUAUACAGCCACACUUUUUGCAAUCUUCAGCUUUUCAGGCCUAGGUCCUGGUUUUAUUUUAGCUUUCAGAGCUUCUCUGUAGGCUCGAAUUUCCAAGAGGCAGCCCGAGUCCCUGGGGAGAGGGUCAUCGUGGCUCUCCUCGGCGCCUUCCACCUCUGGACGGGCAACCGGUGGGAGAGGACGCCGGUGGGCGGGGGGAAGGAGGCGGCCCUAGCGCCAUUUUGUGGGAGCGAAGCGGUCGCUGGGCUGCGCUUGGGUCCGUCGCUGCCUCGGUGUCCCUGUCGGGCUUCCCAGCAGCGGCCUAGUGGAAAAGUAAAAGAUGUCUGAAUAUAUUCGGGUAACCGAAGAUGAGAACGAUGAGCCCAUUGAAAUACCAUCGGAAGACGAUGGGACGGUGCUGCUGUCCACGGUCACAGCCCAGUUUCCAGGGGCGUGUGGGCUUCGCUACAGGAAUCCAGUGUCUCAAUGUAUGAGAGGUGUCCGACUGGUAGAAGGAAUUCUGCAUGCCCCCGAUGCUGGCUGGGGAAAUCUGGUGUAUGUUGUCAACUAUCCGAAAGAUAACAAAAGAAAAAUGGAUGAGACAGAUGCUUCAUCAGCAGUGAAAGUGAAAAGAGCAGUCCAGAAAACAUCCGAUUUAAUAGUGUUGGGUCUCCCAUGGAAAACAACUGAACAGGACCUGAAAGAGUAUUUUAGUACCUUUGGAGAAGUUCUUAUGGUGCAGGUCAAGAAAGAUCUUAAGACUGGUCAUUCAAAGGGGUUUGGCUUUGUUCGUUUUACGGAAUAUGAAACACAGGUGAAAGUAAUGUCACAGCGACAUAUGAUAGAUGGACGAUGGUGUGACUGUAAACUUCCUAAUUCUAAGCAAAGCCAAGAUGAGCCUUUGAGAAGCAGAAAAGUGUUUGUGGGGCGCUGUACAGAGGACAUGACUGAGGAUGAGCUGCGGGAGUUCUUCUCUCAGUACGGGGAUGUGAUGGAUGUCUUCAUCCCCAAGCCGUUCAGGGCCUUUGCCUUUGUUACAUUUGCAGAUGAUCAGAUUGCGCAGUCUCUUUGUGGAGAGGACUUGAUCAUUAAAGGAAUCAGCGUUCAUAUAUCCAAUGCCGAACCUAAGCACAAUAGCAAUAGACAGUUAGAAAGAAGUGGAAGAUUUGGUGGUAAUCCAGGUGGCUUUGGGAAUCAGGGUGGAUUUGGUAAUAGCAGAGGGGGUGGAGCUGGUUUGGGAAACAAUCAAGGUAGUAAUAUGGGUGGUGGGAUGAACUUUGGUGCAUUCAGCAUUAAUCCAGCCAUGAUGGCUGCUGCCCAGGCAGCACUACAGAGCAGUUGGGGUAUGAUGGGCAUGUUAGCCAGCCAGCAGAACCAGUCAGGCCCAUCGGGUAAUAACCAAAGCCAAGGCAACAUGCAGAGGGAGCCAAACCAGGCCUUCGGUUCUGGAAAUAACUCUUAUAGUGGUUCUAAUUCUGGUGCAGCAAUUGGUUGGGGAUCAGCAUCAAAUGCAGGGUCGGGCAGUGGUUUUAAUGGAGGCUUUGGCUCAAGCAUGGAUUCUAAGUCUUCUGGCUGGGGAAUGUAGGCAGUGGGGUUGUGGUUGGUUGGUAUAGAAUGGUGGGAAUUCAAAUUUUUCUAAACUCAUGGUAAGUAUAUUGUAAAAUACGUAUGUAUUAAGAAUUUUCAAAAUUGGUUUGUUCAGUGUGGAGUAUAUUCAGCAGUAUUUUUGACAUUUUUCUUUAGUAAAAGGAAGAGCUAAAGGAAUUUUAUAAGUUUUGUUACAUGAAAGGUUGAAAUAUUGAGUGGUUGAAAGUGAACUGCUGUUUGCCUGAUUGGUAAACCAACACACUACAAUUGAUAUCAAAAGGUUUCUCCUGUAAUAUUUUAUCCCUGGACUUGUCAAGUGAAUUCUUUGCAUGUUCAAAAUGGAAACCAUUGAUUAGAACUACAUUCUUUACCCCUUGUUUUAAUUUGAACCCCACCAUAUGGAUUUUUUUCCUUAAGAAAAUCUCCUUUUAGGAGAUCAUGGUGUCACAGUGUUUGGUUCUUUUGUUUUGUUUUUUAACACUUGUCUCCCCUCAUAUACAAAAGUACAAUAUGAAGCCUUCAUUUAAUCUCUGCAGUUCAUCUCAUUUCAAAUGUUUAUGGAAGAAGCACUUCAUUGAAAGUAGUGCUGUAAAUAUUCUGCCAUAGGAAUACUUCUGUCUACAUGCUUUCUCAUUCAAGAAUUCGUCAUCACGCAUCACAGGCCGCGUCUUUGACGCCCUGAAUGCAAAGAAUUCAUAGCAGUUAAUUCCCCUUUUUUGACCCUUUUGAGAUGGAACUUUCAUAAAGUUUCUUGGCAGUAGUUUAUUUUGCUUCAAAUAAACUUAUUUGAAAAGUUGUCUCAAGUCAAAUGGAUUCAUCACCUGUCAUGCAUUGACACCUGAUACCCAGACUUAAUUGGUAUUUGUUCUUGCAUUGGCCAAAGUGAAAAGUUUUUUUUUUUGUUUUGUUUUUGUUUUUUGUUUUUGUUUUUGUUUUUCUUUUGAAAUCUAGUUUUGAAUAAGUCUGGGUGACCGCACCUAAAAUGCACUUGCACUAUUACUCAGCAGCAGUAACAUGGUAACACUUAAAAUGGUACUCGGGGACCUCCAAAGACUAAACUGACAAGCCUUCAAGAAGCCCAGGGGUAAGUUAACUUGUCAACGGCAUGGUUUAAUCCCUUCUUUACACUUGUGUAAAUUUCAGUUACUGGUCUUAGAAGGCUUUCAAUGUUGAGUAGCCUUUUAUUAACAUGUUUAUGGUACUGCAUAGAUACGGGUAUUUAUUUUACCCUAAAAAGAUUUUGAAGUUUAGAAGUACUUAAACUAUUUGGCAAAGAUUUGUUUUUAAAAAUCUAUUUGGUCAUCUAAAUGCAUUCAUUCUAAAAAAUUUUUUGAACCAGCUAAAUAAAAAUUUUUUUUGACACCACAGUUUAGUGUCUGGAGUCUUACUGGAAAAACACGAUUUCUUUUUAUAUGUGACAUACAGAUGCUGGAAAGUUACCUUUAAAAAUUGAGUCUAAAAAAAGAAAAUAAAAAUUGAGUCUCAAGAUGUUGUACUUUAUACUUUAUAUGCACAAGAGAAAUGAGGCCAAGACUCACCGUAAACUUUUACAUGGAAUGUUAACUGUUAGACUGAAAAACUUGAAUGUUAGCUAUUCAAACCUUUUAGGAAGGAAUAGCCAGCUAAAAUGAAAUGAGAUUUUUAAGGUUAAAUCAGCACUUAAGUUUUGUC